GCUUUGGGAUAACCCUCGGAAACGGGGGCUAAUACCGAAUAGGACCACCGGUCGCAUGGUUGGUGGUGGAAAGUUUUUCGGCCUGGGAUGGGCUCGCGGCCUAUCAGCUUGUUGGUGGGGUGAUGGCCUACCAAGGCGACGACGGGUAGCCGGCCUGAGAGGGCGACCGGCCACACUGGGACUGAGACACGGCCCAGACUCCUACGGGAGGCAGCAGUGGGGAAUAUUGCACAAUGGGCGGAAGCCUGAUGCAGCGACGCCGCGUGAGGGAUGACGGCCUUCGGGUUGUAAACCUCUUUCAGCAGGGACGAAGCGUAAGUGACGGUACCUGCAGAAGAAGCACCGGCCAACUACGUGCCAGCAGCCGCGGUAAGACGUAGGGUGCGAGCGUUGUCCGGAUUUAUUGGGCGUAAAGAGCUCGUAGGCGGCUUGUCGCGUCGACCGUGAAAACUUGGGGCUCAACUCCAAGCCUGCGGUCGAUACGGGCAGGCUAGAGUUCGGUAGGGGAGACUGGAAUUCCUGGUGUAGCGGUGAAAUGCGCAGAUAUCAGGAGGAACACCGGUGGCGAAGGCGGGUCUCUGGGCCGAUACUGACGCUGAGGAGCGAAAGCGUGGGGAGCGAACAGGAUUAGAUACCCUGGUAGUCCACGCUGUAAACGUUGGGCGCUAGGUGUGGGGGGCCUCUCCGGUUCCCUGUGCCGCAGCUAACGCAUUAAGCGCCCCGCCUGGGGAGUACGGCCGCAAGGCUAAAACUCAAA
RNAcentral lists this ribosomal RNA (757 nucleotides) under Actinomycetes bacterium. RNAcentral's name for it is "bacterial SSU rRNA". It matches the Rfam family "Bacterial small subunit ribosomal RNA", at positions 135 to 905 of the family's 1533-position model. The record is from RNAcentral. Lineage: Bacteria; Bacillati; Actinomycetota; Actinomycetes.